RNAcentral lists this unclassified non-coding RNA (272 nucleotides) under Hevea brasiliensis (rubber tree). Lineage: Eukaryota; Viridiplantae; Streptophyta; Magnoliopsida; Malpighiales; Euphorbiaceae. The record is from RNAcentral.
AAAAAAAAGUAGAACAUUUCAAUAGGAAUUUUAAUUUUUUCAUGCCAAACUUACAUGUUAUAACUCACCUCUUUGAUCACAUCGUUCUACUGAGGCAGUUAGUCAGGCAUCCACUCAAACUUAAUUUUUAGGGUGAAAAACGCCACUAUGCAAUCUAAUUUUACAACACAGCAAAAUGGUCACUAAAGUAAUGAACUACAACAUAUAAGGAGCCUAACAAACCCAAAUACAACAUAUUAUGGCAAGACACGGGGGAGAGCCACAACUACUUG